Hyla sarda is the source of this 894-nucleotide long non-coding RNA. RefSeq lists it as uncharacterized. The record is from RefSeq and is a predicted model, not a curated record. NCBI's taxonomy places the organism in Eukaryota, Metazoa, Chordata, Amphibia, Anura, Hylidae. The transcript is spliced from 4 exons.
CUUGUAGUACCACAGCUUAAAUCAGUGUUUUCCAGUGUGCCUCCAGCAGGUGUAAACUUUUGUAACAGCUGGAGGCACACUGUUUGGAAAACACUGGCUUAGAUUAUACUGUAGUCAAAUAUAUCCCCUUAUCUGAGGAGAGGGAUUUAGGAGUAAUUAUUUCAGAAGACUUAAAGGUAGGAAGUAGAGAUGAGCGAACUUACAGUAAAUUCGAUUCGUCACGAACUUCUCGGCUCGGCAGUUGAUGACUUUUCCUGCAUAAAUUAGUUCAGCUUUCCGGUGCUCUGGUGGGCUGGAAAAGGUGGAUACAGUCCUAGGAGACUCUUUCUGUGGGAGCUAUAACAGUACCUUGGUUAUCAUCAGUAUAUACACACGGAGCUAAUAGGGGCCAUUGCUGAGGAAGAAAAUAAUUGUAUUUAUUAGCCUAUUUCAUAUCAUAUGGGCGUUCUUUGAUGAACUCUGACAUUCAGAAUCCUCUUCAUCCCACCCAGUCGCUCCACCCAUUGAAGCAAAGACAGGCUCCUUCUGAACACCUGACUAGUGAUGUAAUGUCUAGACCGCAUUGCAACCUGUGGACACCUGAGAUGGGGUAAAAAUCACAGAAGAAUUGCGAGACCACCAUGAAACACAGGUCCUGUAGGGCUUCAGGCCAAGCCUGUUCAUCGGGGUAGCUGAAGUGGCUCUGACUAUACAUCUGCACUCUGGCAGGCAUUUCAGAGUGCCCACAGAACCACAAGUCUCAGGAGAACCUGCCAGGAGAUAACAGUGGUGCAUUACACUGUUAUCCAUCACUAUAUCUUAAUACAAUCCUAACCUGGACAGCUGCACCAAGGUUUUCCUUAGACACCUUAUAGCUCUAUAAGAUAGAACUUAUAGAAGUUAUUUAUCCUUAAA